CGUCGCACGCGCCAUUUUGAGAGUCAAACACAUGUUUUUGUUUUGAUCCAUUCGCCAGGAAAAAUCGGCGACUUGGUGUAACUGAAAUAGCCACCAGAUCUCACCAUGGUACAUACAUGCGUUGCUGUUGGCUGCCACAACAGAAAAACUCCAGAUUCACGCCUGUCGUUUUACCGAUUUCCGCGGGAUAAAGACAGAAAACAACGAUGGAUUGCGGCAGUCAAACGGGCAGGGUGGCAGUCCACAGAUGCCAGCAGACUCUGCAGUGAACAUUUUGUGUCAGGUAAACAGAGCAAAAACCAGUUUUCCCCCGAUUAUAUUCCAUCAGUGUUCAAGCAUGCCCCAUCUCUGGAAAAGAGAAAACAUCUUGCCGAGCUUGCAAACUUUGAGCGGAGACGAGAACUAAUAAGGAGCAAGCGACAAGAACAAGAGAAGAGGACGGAUGUUGCAGCUGCUCUGCUUGAACUUCAAAGCAUUCACCCAGUCAAUUCUGCAACAACAGACGCUGUGUCCGAUGCUCAAGACCAAAAUCCAGUGGUUGAGCACCUACAUCUGACAGUUGCAAUCAGCAACCUGACUAUGCAAUGGAAUGCAACGCCCUCAGACUUGAAGUGAGCAUGCUGAAAGGUCAAGUAGAUGCAUUAUCUAUUACAGAAAAGUCUUUUGAGACGGAUGACAAUAUAGUUAGGUUUUAUACGGGAUUGCCAAAUUUUAAAACACUGAACACAAUUAUUUGGGUGAUUCACUCUCAAAUCAAAGUAGAGAAACUGUCAAAGUUUCAGCAACUAGUGCUAACACUCAUGAAAAUGCGGCUUAAUUUGACAAAUCAGGAUUUGGCCCACAGGUUUGGUGUAGAUGCAUCUACAAUUUCAAGAACAUUCAGGCACAUAGUCGAUUUAUUGUACUUAACUCUGGUUCCCACUGCUGUUGUCUGGCCACAUAGAGAGGCGCUGAGGAAGACUUUGCCCAUGACUUUCAUGACAACCUAUCCAAAAUGUGCUGCGAUCACUGACUGUUUUGAAGUGCCGCUUGAGCAAUCGAGUGACCAGGAGGCCACAGCACAGACACGCUCAGCGAACACUUUAAGAAAUACAGUGAAAUAUCUCGUCGGAGUAGCGCCACACAGUGUCAUCACCUUUAUCCCUUGUGCUAUCCUAGGCACUUUAACAUUGGGAGUUGGGUCAUCUAGACCCACUAGACAGUGCUCUGAACCUUUUUUCUUCAAUGAUUUGUGAUCUUCACUGGUGUCCAUGGAUUACAUGAAAUCUUUCCACCUUUAUCCACCUUUGUCAUGGUAGGGAGAACACAUCAAUGUAAGGGUGGGGUCAUCUAAGAUAGCACAAGGGUUAAAUCAAAGGGCUGGGGUGGCGGCGUUAGUGACCGUCACCUAAUGGAAAACACUGGUUUCCUUCAAAACAUGCUGCCUGGCGAUAUCGUGUUCGCUGAGAGAGGCUUUAACAUUCACGAGUCGGUUGUGGUCCAUGGAGUCCAGUUGGAGCUUCCUGCUUUCACAGAAGAACAAAUUCAGCUGAGUAGGAAAGAUUUGGCAACAACUAAAGAAACCCAAAAGAUGGCUUCAGUAUGCAUGCAUGUGGAAAGACUUACUGGAAUGGUUCAACAGAAAUACACUAUUCUUAAUGGCCCUGUAGAAACCGCACUCACUUAUACAGAUGCAUCAUGCGGUGCCAUUACCUUGGAUAAAAUCGUACAUUCUGCCUGUGCUUUGAGUAACUUGUGUAAAUCCGUUGAGCCUAUUGACUGAUUUAUUUUUUAUUCUGUAUCAACAACAAAAAAACACGUUUUUCAAAAUGGGUGAUCAUGUAAAUGACUUCACUGGACUUUUUUUUUAAACAAUAGAUUGAUUUCAUUGAAUCUAUGAUAAUAAAUGUGCAUAAAGUGGGAAAAUGUUUACGUUUGAUGAAUAGCUGUGUGAAAAAAGGACAAUGUUCUUGUUUUUGCUGCUUUGCGUUGACACAAUACAAAACAAUGAUUAAAUGACAAUGUUGAAAAUAGGUUUUUAAAAUAAGAAAGUGAACAGAAAUAAAGUGUUUAUUAA
Molecule: non-coding RNA, 2056 nt
Organism: Oryzias latipes (Japanese medaka)
Lineage: Eukaryota; Metazoa; Chordata; Actinopteri; Beloniformes; Adrianichthyidae
Source: RefSeq, a predicted model, not a curated record